AAGAACAAGUCAGGGUCACAAUUGGAAGAUCUUACAGAUGGCUUGAAAGAACUUGACAUGGAAAAUUAUGAUGACGAGGAUGAUGGUAUCGAGUUAUUUAGCAAGAGGCUUGGUGACCUUUACUACCCAAGCAAUGAAAUGGUUCCAUAUUUGAAGGAUGAGGAUGAUGAUGAUUCAGAAGAGAUUGAGGACAUGACCAUAAAACCCAUGGAUUCUGUUAUAGUUUGUGCACGCAUUGAAGUUGAUGUCAGCCAUCUUGAGGUUUGGAUAU
This is a long non-coding RNA of Hibiscus syriacus, 271 nucleotides long. RefSeq lists it as uncharacterized. Lineage: Eukaryota; Viridiplantae; Streptophyta; Magnoliopsida; Malvales; Malvaceae. The transcript is spliced from 4 exons. The record is from RefSeq and is a predicted model, not a curated record.